CUCAAGGUUGACCUCAGAUCAGGUAGGAAUACCCGCUGAACUUAAGCAUAUCAAUAAGNCGGAGGAAAAGAAACCAACAGGGAUUGCCCUCAGUAACGGCGAGUGAAGCGGCAACAGCUCAAAUUUGAAAUCUGGCCCUAGGCCCGAGUUGUAAUUUGCAGAGGAUGUUUCUGGCGAGGUGCCUUCCGAGUUCCCUGGAACGGGACGCCAUAGAGGGUGAGAGCCCCGUACGGUUGGUCGCUAAGCCUCUGUGAAACUCCUUCGACGAGUCGAGUAGUUUGGGAAUGCUGCUCUAAAUGGGAGGUAUACGUCUUCUAAAGCUAAAUACCGGCUAGAGACCGAUAGCGCACAAGUAGAGUGAUCGAAAGAUGAAAAGCACUUUGAAAAGAGGGUUAAAUAGUACGUGAAAUUGUUGAAAGGGAAGCGCUUAUGACCAGACUUGGGCCGGUUGAUCAUCCAUCGUUCUCGGUGGUGCACUCUGCCGGCUCAGGCCAGCAUCAGUUUGGCCCGGGGGAUAAAGGUUUCGGGAAUGUGGCUUCCUUCGGGGAGUGUUAUAGCCCGUUGCGUAAUACCCUGGGCUGGACUGAGGUACGCGUUCUGCAAGGAUGCUGGCGUAAUGGUCAUCAGUGACCCGUCUUGAAACACGGACCAAGGAGUCGUCUUCGUAUGCGAGUGUUCGGGUGUCAAACCCCUACGCGUAAUGAAAGUGAACGUAGGAGAGAGCUUCGGCGCAUCUCCGACCGAUCCUGAUGUUCUCGGAUGGAUUUGAGUAAGAGCAUACGGGGCCGGACCCGAAAGAAGGUGAACUAUGCCUGUAUAGGGUGAAGCCAGAGGAAACUCUGGUGGAGGCUCGCAGCGGUUCUGACGUGCAAAUCGAUCGUCAAAUAUGGGCAUGGGGGCGAAAGACUAAUCGAACC
This 917-nucleotide ribosomal RNA is filed under the name Caespitomonium hyalinulum. RNAcentral's name for it is "eukaryotic LSU rRNA". It matches the Rfam family "Eukaryotic large subunit ribosomal RNA", at positions 1 to 941 of the family's 3401-position model. The record is from RNAcentral. Lineage: Eukaryota; Fungi; Ascomycota; Sordariomycetes; Hypocreales; Bionectriaceae.